UGCCGAGCUUUUUUACGUCA
This 20-nucleotide non-coding RNA is filed under the name Arabidopsis thaliana (thale cress). Lineage: Eukaryota; Viridiplantae; Streptophyta; Magnoliopsida; Brassicales; Brassicaceae. The record is from RNAcentral.